This 492-nucleotide ribosomal RNA is filed under the name uncultured bacterium. RNAcentral's name for it is "partial 16S ribosomal RNA". It matches the Rfam family "Bacterial small subunit ribosomal RNA", at positions 29 to 507 of the family's 1533-position model. The record is from RNAcentral.
AGUGAACGCUGGCGGUAGGCCUAACACAUGCAAGUCGAACGGCAGCACAGUAAGAGCUUGCUCUUACGGGUGGCGAGUGGCGGACGGGUGAGGAAUACAUCGGAAUCUACUUUUUCGUGGGGGAUAACGUAGGGAAACUUACGCUAAUACCGCAUACGACCUACGGAUGAAAGCAGGGGAUCUUCGGACCCUGCGCGAUUGAAUGAGCCGAUGUCGGAUUAGCUAGUUGGCGGGGUAAAGGCCCACCAAGGCGACGAUCCGUAGCUGGUCUGAGAGGAUGAUCAGCCACACUGGAACUGAGACACGGUCCAGACUCCUACGGGAGGCAGCAGUGGGGAAUAUUGGACAAUGGGCGCAAGCCUGAUCCAGCCAUACCGCGUGGGUGAAGAAGGCCUUCGGGUUGUAAAGCCCUUUUGUUGGGAAAGAAAAGCAGCAGGUUAAUACCCCGCUGUUCUGACGGUACCCAAAGAAUAAGCACCGGCUAACUUCGUG